Molecule: transfer RNA, 76 nt
Filed under: Planctomycetota bacterium
Lineage: Bacteria; Pseudomonadati; Planctomycetota
Description: tRNA-Thr
Rfam family: tRNA
About the family: Transfer RNA (tRNA) molecules are approximately 80 nucleotides in length. Their secondary structure includes four short double-helical elements and three loops (D, anti-codon, and T loops). Further hydrogen bonds mediate the characteristic L-shaped molecular structure. tRNAs have two regions of fundamental functional importance: the anti-codon, which is responsible for specific mRNA codon recognition, and the 3' end, to which the tRNAs corresponding amino acid is attached (by aminoacyl-tRNA synthetases). tRNAs cope with the degeneracy of the genetic code in two manners: having more than one tRNA (with a specific anti-codon) for a particular amino acid; and 'wobble' base-pairing, i.e. permitting non-standard base-pairing at the 3rd anti-codon position.
Source: RNAcentral
GCCUGAGUAGCUCAGCUGGUAGAGCAGCGCUUUCGUAAAGCGCAGGUCGCGAGUUCGAGUCUCGCCUCAGGCUCCA